This 496-nucleotide ribosomal RNA is filed under the name uncultured bacterium. RNAcentral's name for it is "partial 16S ribosomal RNA". It matches the Rfam family "Bacterial small subunit ribosomal RNA", at positions 28 to 506 of the family's 1533-position model. The record is from RNAcentral.
GAUGAACGCUGGCGGCGUGCCUAAUACAUGCAAGUCGAGCGAACGGACGAGAAGCUUGCUUCUCUGAUGUUAGCGGCGGGCGGGUGAGUAACACGUGGAUAACCUACCUAUAAGACUGGGAUAACUUCGGGAAACCGUAGCUAAUACCGGAUAAUAUUUUGAACCGCAUGGUUCAAAAGUGAAAGACGGUCUUGCUGUCACUUAUAGAUGGAUCCGCGCUGCAUUAGCUAGUUGGUAAGGUAACGGCUUACCAAGGCAACGAUGCAUAGCCGACCUGAGAGGGUGAUCGGCCACACUGGAACUGAGACACGGUCCAGACUCCUACGGGAGGCAGCAGUAGGGAAUCUUCCGCAAUGGGCGAAAGCCUGACGGAGCAACGCCGCGUGAGUGAUGAAGGUCUUCGGAUCGUAAAACUCUGUUAUUAGGGAAGAACAUAUGUGUAAGUAACUGUGCACAUCUUGACGGUACCUAAGCAGAAAGCCACGGCUAACUACGU